Molecule: RNA transcript, 4095 nt
Organism: Manis pentadactyla (Chinese pangolin)
Lineage: Eukaryota; Metazoa; Chordata; Mammalia; Pholidota; Manidae
Gene name: MLV-related proviral Env polyprotein-like
Exons: 3
Source: RefSeq, a predicted model, not a curated record
CGAAACUAGGACAGUUAGCCAAAAGGAACUUCAGAGAGCAUAAAAAAUGUUGACUAAACUCUUAAGGUUGCUGUUAGCCAAUCUAAGGCUGACAACUCCUGUGCAGGUCUUACUGCCAAUAAAUAACUUCUUUUUCUCCUGUAUUCUAGUUGUAGUUUAGUGUAUCUGUGCUCUCCUGAAACAGGCAGUUCUGCGAAAUUCAGAACUAACAUUUGGGGGCUCGUCCGGGAUUGGAGCUACCACCAGUGUCCGGUCAGAGGAGGCACCUGUAGAGAUUUAAAAGAUGUUUUCUUCACCCUGCGGGUAGUGGAAAAAUCCUAACCUAUCUUUGCCUUUGAGUGGGUUGACCCCGAAGUUGGGAAGCUGGACAGUACACGUGGACCUGGCUGCCACAAGGAUUUAAGAAUUCUCCCACCUUGUUCAAUGAAGCCCACCACGUCAACCUGCAAGGCUUUCAAGAAGAACAUCCUGAGGUAACCCUUCUUCAAUAUGUUGAUGGUUUAUUAAUUGUAGCCGAGACACCCACUAACUGCCUGACAGCUACCAGGCAUUUGUUAAGAAGACCACAAGAUUGUGGGUAUUGCGUCUCUGAAAAGAAAGCCUAGGUAUGUGUCACCUCUGUGACCUACUUGGGAUAUAUUUUAGAGAGAGGUCAAUGCUGAGUUGCAGCAUCAUGGAUUGACGCAAUCAUGAGGAUACCCACUCUUACCUCCAGGUGGCAGGCACGUGAUUUCUUAGAAACUGUGGGGUAUUGCAGGCUAUGGAUUUUGGGUUUCGCUGAGAAAGUCCAAUCCCUGUAUAAACUGACUAAAGAACAACCAGCUCUUCAAUGGGAAGAUAAGCAUCAGAAAGCUUUUGCUGACUUGAAGGCGGCCUUCUCCUCGGCUCCCGCCUUAGCCUUCCCUGAUCUGGCAAAACCCUCCAUCCUGUAUGUCAGUGAGAGGCAUGGGAUGAUGAGAGGCAAAGGAGUGAUGACUCAACGACUAGGUCCCUGGGAGCGGCCAGUUGCCUACCUGUCCAAAAAGCUUGACUCUGUGGUGGCCAGAUGGCCGGCUUGUCUAUGAGCCAUAGCAGCCACAGCCUUACUCGCCAAGGAGGCCCAAAAGCUGACCUCUGGGCAGGUCCCCAUGAUUGUCUCCCCUCAUGCCAGGGAAAACCUACUCCACUCCCUGCCCCAUAAGUGGAUGACUAACUCUCGCAUCAUACAUUACCAGACCUUGGUCCUAGACAGCGAGUGGGUGAAAUUUCUACAGACAUCCAAACUGAAUCCUGCUACUCUUCUGCCAGACUCAGACGACAACACUGUGAGCCAUGACUGUAGUGAAGUAAUGGCUUCAGUCAGCAGCGUGCGAGAAGCUCUCACAGACACUCCCCUGAAAGAAUCUGAGGUAAUUCUCUUUACAGAUGGCAGCAGUUUCAUCGACACUGGGAGAAGGAGAGCUGGAGCCGCAGCGGUCCAGAUUAACCAGCUUGGAACUGGGACAAAAACCCUGUGGGCAGCGCCACUGCCAGCGGGGACCUCAGCUCAGAAGGCUGAACUCAUAGAGCUAACCCAAUCCCUGAUCCUGAUCCACUAUGUACACUGAUAGCCGGUAUGCAUUUGCCACCGCACACGUGCACGGGGCAAUAUACACAGAGAGAGGGCUGCUCACCUCAGAAGGAAAAGCCGUAAAAAAACAAAGAAGAAAUCCUCGGACUCCUGGUCGCUCUGGCUGCCCCAGCAACUUGCAAUUGUACAUUACCCAGGACAUCAAAAAGGUGACUCACUUGAAGCAGUGGGAAACAGAGAAGCGGACCGCGCUGCUAAAAUGGUAGCAUUUAGUGAACUGACUGAACUUGUUCUCAUGCCAGAGUCCUUAGUGGCGGGCCCCCCUUCGUACAGUGUAGCAGAAGAACAGUGCUUGAGACAACAACAGGGAGAGGAAAAUAGUAGUAGAUGGUAUAUUCUCCCUACCGGAACCAAAGGGCUACCGGAAGCCCUAGCCUGGCAGAUGGUAAAACAACCUCAUGAGAGCACCCACUUGGGGGCAAAAAAAUUAACCGCCCUGAUGCAGAAAGCCUUCUGGCACAAGGACCUAUCUGGAUUAUGUCGAGACGAAGUGAGUAGGUGCCUCACCUGUCAGCAGGUAGACGUCAGGGCAACAAGGGCCCAGUACACUAAGAAAAGGUGCGCAGACUGACCGGGAAAGUAUUGGGAGAUUGAUUUCACAGAAUUGAAGCCUCUUUAAUUUGGGUACAAAUAUCUUUUAGUAUUCAUAGAUAUUUACUCUGGGUGGGUUGAAACGUCCCCACUAAAGGAGAAAGCACAAAGACUGUGGCUAAAUGUUUGAUAAAAGAAAUAGUACCUCUGUUUGAGCUCCCUCUAAAUUUAGAAUCUAACAAUGGACCCGCCUUCAUUUCCAAGGUAACCUGACAAGUCAAUGAAAUCCUACAUGUGCUCUGGAAACUGCAUUGCAUGUACAGGCCCCAAAAUUCAGGAAAAGUAGAGAGGAUGUAUAGGACACUGAAAGAAACGUUAAGAAAGCUAAAGCAUGAGACUGGGUUAGGUUGGGUCUCUCUUCUCCCAUUUGCCCUAAUUAAAACCCGCUGCACCCCCUACUUCCUUGACCUCACACCUUAUAAAAUCAUGUUUAGUAGACCGCCACCCUUGCUACCACAAGUGGAUAGUGACAAAAUAGCUGAAUUAACUAAUACUGACCUACUUCAGUCGCUGCAGGCUUUUCACAUCUUACAGGAAGAAAUAAAAAACAUCUUCGCAGCUGUAGAGGGAGCCGCACAGGUGAGACCGCACCCCCAUGCUCCCGGAGAUCUCUUGUAGAUCUGGAAGCCGCACCCGGAGACUCUCGAAAUGCGGUGGAAAGGACCAUACGUUGUAAUCCUCUCUACACCCCCCACAGUGAAAGUAACUGGUGUCCUCCCGUGGAUACAUGACAUGCAAGUGAAGAAGUUCCUCCACAACGGGGAAAAGCAAAGGUGGACUCUAACUAAAUCUGCUACUAACCCCUUGAAACUAACCUUUAAAACUAAUCAUAUAUAAAGCUUACUUGUGGGGGAUCACCACUUUUUAAAUAUUUCAGCUAUGCCAGGGAAAGAAUAAGUUGCAUCAACCACGGAGCGGAGGGAAGAAAGCCACUAUGUACACAAAGGAUAAUGAGGAUACCCACUCCCACCUCCAGGUGGCAGAGACAAGUUGUGACAGCCCAGCAGAACCCUACUGGCCCCCUCCGGGUCCGGGAAAUAUUUCAACCCCCACCAGGGCCUCCACGCCGGACUCAGCCACCCUUGCUGAAGCCACAUUUUCACUCUGUGCCCCGGCCAAUAACAAAGACCACCCUUCUGCCAGAAAAAUUAACCACUACCCCCAUUGCUGCCUCUGGCCCCGUGCUUCAAUUAGUACAAGAUGUUUAUAAAUUUCUGAACACCUCUGCAGUGUCUAAUUUGACCCGAGACUGCUGGCUAUGUGUAGACUCUAGGCCUCUGUAUUAUGUCGGCAUAGCUGUAAACCCUCCCUAGGAAACUCCCAGUCCCUAUUCCAGAAAGGGUCCCUAGAAACACUGGAACAGCAAGGGAAGUGCACCUGGGGACAGGUUCCCUCUUUGACCCUCGGAGAUGUUCAAGGGACUGGGUGGUGUAUACACUCCCCAGAUUACAAUUAGAACAAUUUCUCCAUUUCUUAAGAAUUGCUCAGUAAAAUUAAAUUAUACAAACACAGCCACUUCUUCUGGCCAGUAUUUCUAUGGCCCAGACAGCAUCUGGUUUGCUUGUGUCACAGGAUUAACACCUUGUAUACCAAAAGAACUGAUGGCAUCAGAUUUCAACCCUGCAGGACCAGAGCUUUGUAUACUUGUCCAUCUAAUACCCCAAAUUUUUCUGUAUGAUGGAGAAGCAGGAUGAGAACACAUAAGAGUUCAGGACGGUGGAGAACUAAGAGAGCAGCUCCUAUAUUAGUCCCCUUGCUAGUAGGACUAGGUAUUACUGGGUCAACAGCCAUCGGAACAGCCGCUCUAGUCACCUCAGAUAUAAAUUUCAAAACUCUAGCUCACUCCAUCAACCGAGAUUUAAGACUUCUAGAGAGCACUGUGCAACAACCUGAAU